AAAGUCGUAACAAGGUUUCCGUAGGUGAACCUGCGGAAGGAUCAUUAACAACAUAUCCUAACUAAAAAACCCUGUGAACUUUCAAUGUCCCGAACCUUUGAUCCGAGGACUUCAGCAAUCUCUGGUAAAUCAUAGUGAACAGCUUUUGAUUCAGAGACCUCUGAAAUAACCUAGCGUGGUUGGGUGAGGUAAGGCAAGUGACCUGGUACCCUCAAGACCAGUGUUCAAUGAUCUGUCAGUGUUCAUUGACUGGAAUCAAACGUUCUGUCAGUGUGCGUUUGGUUUGCAAGGGUGGCGCAGUAAACGAUCGCUGGAGGCCGACACGGCCGGCGACCGGGUCAGUGAGCUCUGCUCCCGCUGUUACGUCAAACCCCAUGUUCCCCUCUAGUGAAAGCUAUUGGGUUAUAACUAAACGACUGUUAACAAUGGAUAUCUCGAUUCUC
This 443-nucleotide unclassified non-coding RNA is filed under the name Basidiomycota sp. RNAcentral's name for it is "partial contains small subunit ribosomal RNA and internal transcribed spacer 1". The stretch from base 1 to 47 matches the Rfam family "Eukaryotic small subunit ribosomal RNA", at positions 1785 to 1831 of the family's 1831-position model. The record is from RNAcentral. Lineage: Eukaryota; Fungi; Basidiomycota.